UUGUUGUUCCAAUAGGGUCGGAAGCGUGUAAAUUAUUGUACUAAAAAAUCACACAAAGUUCAAUUCCCAGGGAAGAGAGGUGGAUCACAUGGAUCUCUUAAAUACCAAGUCUUUCCUUAGUCAGAAUAUCCCUUCUAUAGUAAUUUAAUAGCACAAUUAAAUACUACUAUUAUACCCUCAAAUAUUGAAAGAAAAAUAGGACAAGAAAGAACACAAGAGUUUUAACGAGGUUCGGUAAAUUAUACCUACGUCCUCGGGCACUAACACCAGAUGAUAACUUUACUAUCUUCAAAAUAUUACAAACAAAUAGAAUUCCUUGAGAAUUCUCAAAUGGGAGAAGAGAGACAACUAAGAGAGAAAGAUUGGUUGGGAUGAAUUGAAAUGAGAAAUGAGAAGGCCUAUUUAUAGUUGAGGUUUAAGGACCAAACAAUAAAUAGCCCAUUAUCUCAAGGACCAAAAAAAAAUUAUCCCAUGCCACUUUUUCAAAGUCAACUUUAGGGUGCUAAACUUGCACCACUUUGUAUUGUUUGCCAUUAAUGUUGUCUCCCAUUAAUGUUAACAAUCUCCACCUUGAAGAUUUGAUUAGGAUAAUCACAUCUUCACACACUUCCUUCAACUCCCCAAAUUCGAUAAAGCUAUCUUUUGUAGUGCCUACAAAUGUACUCUCGAGCGCCAUACACCUGAAGGUGCUCAAAUUCUUAGGAUGUUAAUCAAGUUCAAACAAUGAUUAAACUUGAUUGUUGUUACCACCUUGGUCAUCAUAUCUGCCGGAUUAUCUGCUGUCGGAAUCUUCUGAAAUAGAAUUUUUCCUUUUUCAAAGACUUCCCGCACAAAGUGAUAUCUUACGUCGAUAUGCUUGGUUCUUGAAUGAUAGACUUGAUUUUUCGCUAAAUGAAUAGCGCUCUGACUGUCACAAUGUAAACUUAUGUGACUUUGAACAACUCCUAAGUCUUUCAACAAUCCAUUAAGCCAAAUAGCCUCCUUAACAGCUUCUGUAACUGCCAUAUAUUCUGCCUCUGUAGUAGACACAGCUACUGUAGACUGUAAGGUAGACUUCCAACUCACUGGGGCUUUCGCAAGAGUAAACAGAUACCCCGUAGUUGAACGACGUUUAUCUCAAUCACCAGCAAAGUCGGAAUCAACAUAUCCAACUACAAACUGACCAAGUGCUUCAUCCUGUUCAAAAAUUAAACCAACAUCUACGGUUUUUUGAAGAUACCGUAGAAUCCAUUUCACAGCUUGCCAAUGUCCUUUUCCAAGAUCAUGCAUAUACCUGCUCACAACUCCAACAGCUUGUGAAAUGUCAGGCCUCGUACACACCAUCGCAUACAUCAAACUCCCAACUGCAUUAGCAUAUGGGACUUUCGCCAUAUAUUCUCUUUCAUCUUCAGUCUUCGGAGAUAAUUGAGCACUAAGUUUCAAAUGAGAAGCAAGUGGGGUACUUACAUGUUUUGUGUUUUCAUUUACACCAAAACAUUAUAAUACCUUUUUUUAGAUAUUGCUUCUGAUUUAAACAGAGCUUGCCUCUCGGUCUAUCUCUACUUAUCUCCAUGCCGAGAAUCUUCUUGGCCUCACCUAGAUCUUUCAUCUCGAACUCUUGAUUCAACUGAGCCUUCAGCUUAUCUAUCUCAUUUUGGCUCUUCGAAGCGAUUAACAUAUCAUCAACAUACAAGAGUAGAUAAAUGAAAGAUCCGUCAUGCAGCUUCUGCAAAUACACACAAUUGUCAUAUUUGCUUCUUGUGUACUUCUGCCUUCUCAUAAAGCUAUCAAAUCGCUUGUACCACUGCCUCGGGGAUUGCUUCAAUCCAUAUAGCGAUUUGUUAAGCUUACAAACCCAAUUUCUACCACCAGCAUCUGUGUAUCCUUCUGGCUGAGUCAUAUAGAUCUCCUCUUCUAACUCACCAUGCAAGAAAGCCAUCUUAACAUCAAGUUGAGCUAGCUCCAAAUUCAACUGUGCUACCAAGGCCAACAAAAUUCUAAUGGAGGAAUGCUUCACAACAGGGGAAAAUACAUCAUUGUAGUCAAUUCCCUCCUUCUGAACGUAGCCUUUAGCUACCAAUCUUGCCUUGUAGCGAAUAUCCUUCUUGCUAGGAGAUCCAUCUUUCUUUGCGAAUACCCACUUGCAUCCGAUUGCCCUUUUACCUUUCGGUAAUUGCGCCAACUCCCAAGUAUUGUUCUUCCGGAGAGACUGCAUUUCUUCAUCCAUGGCGCUUUUCCAUUUAUCACUUUCUAAGCUUUGCAUUACUUCUUGAUAAGUGAUAGGAAUAUCAUCAACAACGGGAAGGGCGUAGGCCACCAUAUCAGUAAAUCGAGCAGGUUUACGAAUUUCUCUCCGUGGCCUUGCAACUGCAACUAGUUCUGGUGUACUUAGUGGUUCUUGGGUCCGAACCUCUUCAACCUCUAAUUCCUCCAUUGUGGCUGGAGAAUUAGACUUAUUAACUGGGCAAAUCCCCAUCUGCUCAAACUCCACCUGUUUUGGAGUACACUCCACCUGCUGUGGAGUAUUGCUCGUCUGAAUAUCUUUAUCUGCUACCUUUUUCAAUGUGGCAGAUUCAUCAAAGGUAACAUCUCUGCUACAGAUCAUUUUCUUUGUGCUUAAGCACCAAAGACGAAAUCCCUUCACUCCAGAAGUGAUUCCCAUAAAGAGAGCUUUCUUUGCCCUCGGAUCUAACUUUGACUCCUUCACAUGGUAAUAUGCAGUGGAACCAAACACAUGUAAGGAAUCAUAAUCUGUAGCCAGUUUUCCAGACCAUACCUCCAUAGGAGUUUUUCUUUCUAAUGCAGAUGAUGACAAACGAUUAACAAGAUGGCCAGCGUAUGUCACAGCCUCAGCCCAAAAUUGCUUGCCCAACCCAGCAUUGGACAACAUACAUCGAACUUUCUCCAGCAAUGUUCGAUUCAUACGCUCUGCCAAUCCAUUCUGCUGUGGUGUAUCCCUAACUGUGAAGUGUCGAACAAUACCAUACUCUUGGCACACAUCGAAGAACGGAUCACUUUUAUAUUCCCCUCCAUUGUCCGUCUUAAGCCGCUUGAUUUUCUUGCCAGUCUGGUUUUCGAUCAUAGUUUUCCAUUUAAGAAAAACUCCAAGCACUUCAUCUUUAGUUUUCAUGGUAUACACCCAAACUCUUCUGGAAAAGUCAUCAACAAAAGUAACAAAGUAGUGUUUUCCUCCCAACGAAGGUGUUUUGGAAGGCCCCCACACAUCUGAGUGAAUAUAUUCCAAAAUACCUUUUGUAUUAUGGAUAGCAGUGCCGAAUUUCACUCUCUUUUGCUUUCCCAGAACACAGUGCUCACAAAAUUUUAAUUUGCAAGCCUUUGCACCUUUCAACAAUCCUUGCUUUGCCAGAAUUUGCAAGGAUUUUUCGCUGGCAUGUCCCAACUUCAUAUGCCACAACUGCAUUGAGUCCAAGUCUUUGUUACUGGAAGCUGCAGCGACUGCUCCAAUAACUGUACUACCUUGGUAGUAAUACAAGUUAUUUUUCCUGAUGCCCUUCAAUAUCACAAGUGCGCCAGAUGUCACUUUCAAAACCCCAUCUCUCAUAGUAACAACUAAACCAUUGGAUUCCAAGGCUCCCAAUGAGAUGAGAUUUUUCUUCAAACUGGGCACGUACCGAAGAUCAGUCAGAACUCUGGUUGAUCCAUCUUUAUUCUUUAAUUGGAUUGAACCUAUCCCAACAGUUUUACAGGCAUUGUCAUUGCCCAUAUAAACAACUCCUCCAUUUAGUUCUACUAAAUCAGAGAACCACUCCCGGUUAGGGGACAUAUGAUAGGUACAACCCGAAUCCAAUAUCCACUUAUCUGAAUGGAAUGACGAUGAUGAUGCAACCAGUGAUAGUUCAGAGUCACUGGUAUCAUGCUUUGCAACACAAGCAUCUACAGCAGCUUUUCCCUUAUUCUUCAGCUUUGGACAAUUUUUCUUCUAGUGGCCUUUCUCAUGACAAAAAGCACAUUCAUCUUUCCCGAGUCUGGACUUUGACUUUGAUCUCCCCUUUUGAGUUUUCUUCCGAGUGUAUGAACGACCUCGGACUACUAAAGCUUCUGUAUCUCUGAUUGAGUUUUUCUGUUUGUCAUUCUUUCUCUGUUCAUAACUGUAUAAGGCCGCACAGACUUCGCUCAGAGAUAUAUCACUCCUGCCAUGAAGUAGAGUAGUUUCUAGGAACUCAAACUCCUCAGGAAGUGACCCCAACAGCAUCAAAGCCAAAUCUUCAUCUUUGAAUGUCUCAUCCAUAUUCAGCAAAUCAGUGACUAACUGAUUAAAUUUGGUGAUGUGAUCAUUCAUUGUGGUACUUGGGACGUAAGUGAAGUGAAACAGUCUUUUCUUCAAGUGGAGCUUAUUUUGACUGUUUUUCUUCAAAAAUUUUUCUUCAAGUGCCACCCACAACUUAUUUGCAGAAGUCUCCUUUGAAAAAGCAUACCUCUGCUCUCGAGAAAGGCAUGAUCGAAUUGUGCCACAUGCCAACCGAUUGAUCGCCUUCCAAUCUUUCUCUUGUACAUCAUCUGGUUUCUCUUCAUCAAUGGCAAUGUCUAGACCCUGCUGAAAAAGGGCAUCUAGAACCUCACUUUGCCACAUACCAAAAUGGCCCGUGCCAUCAAAGAUCUCCACGGCCAAUCUUGCAUUUGCAAUUGUCGGUCUUGUCCACAUGGACGAUGUUGAAGCUCCUACACCGACCGUUUUCUCCAUAAUCUUUCAAUAUACCUAAGGAAAUCUUUUCUGAUGUGGAAAAUCAGUUUAAACUGCAACCACAGAGCAUACUACGAUUAACCUGGCUCUGAUACCACUUGUUGUUCCAAUAGGGUCGGAAGCGUGUAAAUUAUUGUACUAAAAAAUCACACAAAGUUCAAUUCCCAGGGAAGAUAGGUGGAUCACAUGGAUCUCUUAAAUACCAAGUCUUUCCUUAGUCAGAAUAUCCCUUCUAUAGUAAUUUAAUAGCACAAUUAAAUACUACUAUUAUACCCUCAAAUAUUGAAAGAAAAAUAGGACAAGAAAGAACACAAGAGUUUUAACGAGGUUCGGUAAAUUAUACCUACGUCCUUGGGCACUAACACCAGAUGAUAACUUUACUAUCUUCAAAAUAUUACAA
Molecule: long non-coding RNA, 5081 nt
Filed under: Gossypium barbadense (sea-island cotton)
Lineage: Eukaryota; Viridiplantae; Streptophyta; Magnoliopsida; Malvales; Malvaceae
Description: long non-coding RNA (GBAR_LNC019640)
Source: RNAcentral